GCCACUGUGGCGCAAUGGUUAGCGUAUUGGGCUGUUAACCCAACGGUUGGCGGUUCGAGUCCGUCCAGUGGCG
This 73-nucleotide non-coding RNA is filed under the name Teleopsis dalmanni. RNAcentral describes it as "tRNA-Asn". It matches the Rfam family "tRNA". From Rfam's summary of the family: Transfer RNA (tRNA) molecules are approximately 80 nucleotides in length. Their secondary structure includes four short double-helical elements and three loops (D, anti-codon, and T loops). Further hydrogen bonds mediate the characteristic L-shaped molecular structure. tRNAs have two regions of fundamental functional importance: the anti-codon, which is responsible for specific mRNA codon recognition, and the 3' end, to which the tRNAs corresponding amino acid is attached (by aminoacyl-tRNA synthetases). tRNAs cope with the degeneracy of the genetic code in two manners: having more than one tRNA (with a specific anti-codon) for a particular amino acid; and 'wobble' base-pairing, i.e. permitting non-standard base-pairing at the 3rd anti-codon position. The record is from RNAcentral. Lineage: Eukaryota; Metazoa; Arthropoda; Insecta; Diptera; Diopsidae.